CCUACGGGAGGCUGCAGUGGGGAAUAUUGGGCAAUGGGCGAAAGCCUGACCCAGCAACGCCGCGUGAGGGAAGAAGGCUUUCUGGUUGUAAACUUCUUUUUACAGGGAAGAGCAGAGUACGUUACCUGUCGAAUCAUCCACGGCUAACGACGUGCCAGCGGCCGCGGGAAUACGUAGGGGGCAAGCAUUGUCCGGAUUUACUGGGUGUAAAGGGCGUGUAGCCGGGCGGAGAAGUCAGAUGUGAAAUCCGGGGGCCCAACCCCCGAACCGCAGUUGAAACUGUUGGUCUUGAGUAUCGGAGAGGCAGGCGGAAUUCGUAGUGUAGCGGUGAAAUGCGUAGAUAUCACGAGGAACACCAGUGGCGAAGGCGGCCUGCUGGACGACAACUGACGGUGAGGCGCGAAAGCGUGGGGAGCAAACAGGAUUAGAUACCCUUGUAGUC
Molecule: ribosomal RNA, 442 nt
Filed under: uncultured bacterium
Lineage: Bacteria
Description: partial 16S ribosomal RNA
Rfam family: Bacterial small subunit ribosomal RNA
Source: RNAcentral